RNAcentral lists this ribosomal RNA (638 nucleotides) under uncultured bacterium. RNAcentral describes it as "bacterial SSU rRNA". It matches the Rfam family "Bacterial small subunit ribosomal RNA", at positions 607 to 1244 of the family's 1533-position model. The record is from RNAcentral.
GCUCAACUGAGGAAUUGCUUUGGAAACUGGAUGACUUGAGUGCAGAAGAGGAAAGUGGAACUCCAUGUGUAGCGGUGGAAUGCGUAGAUAUAUGGAAGAACACCAGUGGCGAAGGCGGCUUUCUGGACUGUAACUGACGUUGAGGCUCGAAAGUGUGGGUAGCAAACAGGAUUAGAUACCCUGGUAGUCCACACCGUAAACGAUGAGUGCUAGGUGUUUGAGGGUUUCCGCCCUUAAGUGCCGCAGCUAACGCAUUAAGCACUCCGCCUGGGGAGUACGACCGCAAGGUUGAAACUCAAAGGAAUUGACGGGGGCCCGCACAAGCGGUGGAGCAUGUGGUUUAAUUCGAAGCAACGCGAAGAACCUUACCAGGUCUUGACAUCCCUUGACAACUCCAGAGAUGGAGCGUUCCCUUCGGGGACAAGGAGACAGGUGGUGCAUGGUUGUCGUCAGCUCGUGUCGUGAGAUGUUGGGUUAAGUCCCGCAACGAGCGCAACCCUUAUUACUAGUUGCCAGCAUUCAGUUGGGCACUCUAGUGAGACUGCCGGUGACAAACCGGAGGAAGGUGGGGAUGACGUCAAAUCAUCAUGCCCCUUAUGACCUGCGCUACACACGUGCUACAAUGGUCGUAUACAACG